UGAUGACGUAUCAGCUAAGCGCGCAAUUUGGAAUGUACCAGCUAAGCGAAUUUUUGUUAAUUUUGUCAAUUAAUUAAUUUAACUUGCUUGUAAAUUUCUCGUAUUUGUAUUGUUAUAAAACUGGUUGUUUAGUACACCAUGGAUGUUGGUUCACAUUUACAGUUUAUAAAAUAUCUAGAGAAGAGAUUACCUGCUGAAGACUCCAAAGCGAUGUCUCUUGUGCUAGAUCGUCUAGUACAAAGAUUUCUCCAAGAAGAGCGUUAUACCAAUGACAUCUGAUACGUAAACUACUACAUUAAAUGUGCAAGUUAUUACAAUGAGCCCAUCAAACUAUACAGCCACAUAUACAGUAAGGGCAUUGGCACCAGAGAUGCAGUCCUCUAUGUGGCGUGGGCUCAUCUAUGUGGCGUGGGCUCAACAGUUUGAGCAGCAGGGCCUGCUUCAACAGGCUGACACCGUGUACCAGAGAGCCAUGGAAAACCAAGCUAAGCCAACUGACACUGUCCUUCAGCAAUACAGAAUGUUCCAAACCAGGACUUCUGGAAGUGGGGCAGGGGCUUCAGAAGCUGUACGGAAUCCUCUUCAGAAGUCCAACUUGGUAAAUCAGCUGCAAACCCACAGAGUGCCCAGCCCACAGUGCAAGGACCCUGAACGUCUGUUCCAACUCCCUACAGACAGAACUGUUCGCAUAGGACCGUCAGAGGUUGGUUAGAGAGCAGGAGGAGGAGGUAAUGAGGAUGAACCAGCUGUUGGAGGAGCUGGAGAGUAAUCUCUGUGUGAGCUCCGCCAGUGCUCUACCAGUGCAGCAGGCACUCUGCACACCUGCAACAGAUCUGAAUCCUGAGUUCCUCCAACAUUCUUUAAGGCACCCUCUACUCUCGAGCAACCUCGGCAUCAAACUCACUCCAGGCUUUAGACUGAACAGUGUACAGGACCCCAGACAAGGCAUGGUUAGGGAAUCUGAGACGCACCUUCAGUGCGACCAUCUCAGGGCUCCCAUUACAGACAGUCUGCGCUCACAGCGAUCCGUUUCUCCAUCUGGACAGUUGGAGGAGGUAAACUCCUCCCAUAGAUGCUCCCUCCACAUGCCAGAAGCAGCAAUGGGUCACUUGCGUGAAUAUACAAAAGCUCCAAAACCAUUUGCAGUCGCUUCCCAGGCAACUUCUCUACAAGCUUCUCUAGUUCAGCCCCAACCAGAACGAAACCCUAAGCCAUUUGGGUCGGUCCCACAGAAGCCAGCAGCCUACAGAUUUGACGUGCAGCUUGGUGGAGUUCCAUAUCAGGGUGGUCACUCUCACCUCAGCAGCAUUUUCCAGCAGCACAACGGCAGCGAUCAUCAUGAGGUGUCUGUCAGUGAAGCUCCUGAGUCAGAGGUGAAAUUAGAUGUGUCACAGGGAGGGACUGGAAACGUGUCCCAUAUCACUCCUAACACUUCUCUGGGACUGGUGCAAGUCACCCCGUCCAGGGUGCUCCCAUCCCCCACAGUCAACACACGGGAGGCACUUGAUGCUAUCAUGGACAUGUUCCAGGUUCCAACCCUCCUGCAGGAGGACCAGUUCCGCAGCAUGCCAAUGCAUCCACAUCAGGCGGAGAAGAGCUUUGAUGCUGGCUACCAGAGAACGGUGCUGCUAUGGUGGACAAUGCAAAGCCACCAAGGGCCCUAGCAGAAAUCCCUCUGUCUAAACCAGAGAAACAAAAUGAACGUCCAUCGGAAUUGAUACCAGAUGAGAGCACUAUGUGGGAAGCAUGCUACAACUCCCUGGCCGCCUGCCCCAACAGCACCAGAGACUUUUCACUGUCGGCUCACCUGGCCUCCACGCCCUUCCAAAACAAAGUUCCUUACUCCUGGGACUUUGAGCAGGAUCAAGAAAAUGAUCAACCCAGUGGCUUUGGGGGUCCGGAAGAAGGCCCUUUCCUACGACAGCCCACAAAACUCAGCCCUAUCAUAGAGCAGAGCCCACCUGAUGGGUUACCUGAGACUGGCACGGAGUGCUCUAUGAGAGCUCAGGGCUUUGCUGAGCAGGGCACCAUCGUGGGAGAAGGGCUAGCCCUGGCCCAGCGAAGCCUGGCUACUGCUCCAUGACUGAAGUGCAGCAUCAUGCCCCGGCCGCACUGUCCUUCAGAGACCAGACUGCCCCCCUGACCCAUGCUGAGGUGGCAGUGGCCAAAAGCCCUCCUUCCAAGGCCUCAAAGCCAGACUGGGAUGUCUAUGUGAGCCCAGAGCAGUCCUCAAAGCCAGCUUUUCCUCUCCCACAGCAUGCACCUGUGGCAGAAGCAUUCCUUUCAAAGAGCCAGAUAUAUGCCCCCAAAUCCAACUUUGAUGUUCCAACUUGUCCAGAGAAAGCUCCAACGCCUGCCUCCAAGUGUGCACCCAAGUCAGACUGGUUAGUGGUCAAAAGCCCAGAGGUUGUGGUUGAACAUGACUUGGAUGCCUUCAUGAGUGCCCGUCAGGGUCAGAGAACAGUCGGCAUCCCUCUGGAGACCAUGGACAUCCCCGUAAGUCCAGAACCACCUAAAUUUGGCUCGGAUGUGACCAUGAGUCCAUUCCAGUCGUCAUCAAAGUUCAGAAUGGAUAUUCCUAUGAGCCCAGCUCCAGAGGUGAGGAAUGGCAUGGAUAUUCUUAUGAGCCCAGACCGAGGUUCAAAGGUGAACAUGAUGUGCCCAUGAGUCCAGCAGGUCAAGGGGCAGCGGCUGUAGAGCUGGUCUCCGACCCCUGGGAUGAGGAGCUGAUUUCCUCCCUGCUCUCCAAGCUGUCCACGCCACUCACCUCACAGCCUAACUUCAUCACCUGGCAGUGCAAAGCCCCCAGCAUCGCACCCAAGAUGACCAUCAAGAUGGGUAAAGGCUCCUUACGGGUUGACUGUGUACUCGGACAGGGUGCCUUUGCCACAGUCUACCAGGCAACUGACCUCAACACCUCAGAGAAGAUGAUUUUAAAGGUGCAGAAACCAGCCAAUCCGUGGGAGUUUUACAUCAACUCUCAGCUGAAUGCCCGGCUGCAGCCCAGCGUGCGCCACCUCUUUAAUAACAUCCACUCUGCCCACCUCUUCCAGAACGGUAGCGUGCUAUUGGGCGAGCUCUACAACUGUGGCACCCUAUUGAAUGCUGUAAACCUGUACAAGAACCUUAGCGACAAGGUGAUUCCCCAGCCUCUGGUGAUCUACUUCACUGUCUGCAUCCUGCACAUGGUGGAACAGCUGCACAAUAUCCACAUCGUUCACGCUGACAUCAAACCAGACAACUUCCUGCUGGAGAGAGGUUCCUGGAGAACAAGUCUUUUGACCAAGAUAAUCUGGAUCAUGGCCUCUCCCUAAUUGACCUGGGUCAGAGCAUUGACAUGACUCUGUUCCCAGAGGGCACGGCUUUCACUGCCAAGUGUAUGACCUCGGGCUUCCAGUGUACAGAGAUGCAGAGUGGGAGACCAUGGAACUACCAGACGGACUACUUUGGGAUAGCUGGAACGGUGUACUGCAUGAUUUUUGGAACAUACAUGCAAGUGACACAGGAGGGUGCGUGUGGAAGACAAAUGCAGUAUUUAGAAGAAAUCCCCACAGUGAUCUGUGGACAGAGUUCUUCCACACUCUGCUGAAUGUACCUGACUGUAGCUCCCUGCCCUGCCUGCGGAGCCUGCGCAGUAGACUGAGCACUGUGCUCCAACAGAACUACAGCAACAAGCUGCCAUCGCUGAAGACGCGCCUGGUUAUCCAGGUGUUAGAGAGCAGGACGGCAAGGAGAUAGAACUCCCUGAGAACCUUUCUACUCUUGGGUCCUGUUCAGUAGGUAUACAAUUAAAGAAAGCGGUCUGAAACUGAGUGGAACUUGGGAGAUACUAUCUGGACUUUAUGAACAACCCUAAUGAACACGACCCUGGAUACUACUGUGAUGUCGAAUUUCUAGUCCAUUUGUAAAUACAAAAGAUUGACCUUAAAUCGGUUCCGGUCACUGUGAUAACCUUUUAUGCAUUUUAAUGUUUUUUAGUGAUAACCUUUUGUCCAUUUAAAUAACAGAAAUUGUGAGGUUGGAGAUGUUAUGGUGUAUUUUCAUUUGUAAAGAAUAUAUAUAUAUUUUUAAAUCCUGUCUUGCAAGUGUAGUUUAUCAUGGCAUUUGAAUUUCUUUUUGGCUCCAACUUCAUGCAGAAAUAUGUCACUAGGUGUCACCCUUGUUCAAGAAGUUGAGCAACAUGCUCUAGUUUGUGAAUUUGGUGUGUAAUUUUAAGGACAGUAUUUGAUAUUAACAGGGUAUAUAAUUGUGUAUUCCCUUGAUACUACAAUGCAAGAUAAAUGAAGGCAAGGCAAUUAUUUAUGUUUCAGUACCUAUUGCCAGAUGUUUGAUGAUAGAAGCUAGCUUAAUACACCAGCAGAAUACAGCAAUCAAACUGCUUUUCAUCCAGAACAACGGAUCAAACCAAAUUAAGGAAGUGAUGUACGAAAUGAGCACAAAAUACUUGACUGGAUCCAAACGAAAUUCUUUUCCCGUUGGAGCAAUUCAGUUUGGAGUCAUACCAAAGACUUAAAAUGGAACCCGAUGCCUCUGCUUGGCCAUUGGCAUAAGAACAUGGAUUGGGUGAUGAACCCCAGUGUCCUGCCCAGGAGGUGUCCUAUGAUCUGUUCUGGUUUGGACAAGGCUUUCUUACAAUUCAGUUUGGAUCCAGGCUACAUAUGUAAUUACCACAAUCUGUGCCUCUACAGUACAGUUCCCUCAGAGGUGCCUCGAGUUUUGCCACUCUAUUCCAUUGCUAGGCACCCUGUUUGACUCCCACUUUAACAGCCCUGCCCUCUGAUGUCCUCAGCAUUAUUAAUGAGCUUUGUUUGGUCACAGUUUUUCUGUCCCCAAUGAUACCCUAUUCCCUCUAUGGCAACCUAUUCCCCUGUGAGCCCUGGUCAAAAGUAGUGCACGGGAGAGGGAAUGGGGUGCCAUUUGGGAUACUAGCAUUGACAAUCAGAAGCCUGUGAUAUGAAAAGGGAGCAUGGCGCAGCAGCGAUUUGAGAUUUCCCCGCACCUGGAACGGUGAUGCUGAAACAGACCAGACUUUUAGGGUGGACGCUAGAGUAAACCUCUCAAAGGGUGUUAACAAUAGAAGCGUGCCUCAAUCUGUUUUUCCUUUACCAUCCCCUCAGGCGAGAGUGAUAUCAGAGACCAAUACUAGCCUGGCUGACGCGACCCAUGUGACUACUGUAGGACAUCGAGAGCUGGUGUCAGCCAGACUACAACAAAACAGGUGGUCCUCAAUCAACCCCUGAGUAACUGCACUUUGAAAGUAAUCCUCAAUAUAAAUAUCUGGCUUUUAUGCUGUGGGUCACAGUGGGGUGUUUUUCAUAGUAAUCAAGGCAAAAUAUAUUUGUUGAAUAGAUAUAGGCUAGGACAAGGAAAAGGGUUGGGUGUGACUGAUCAUUUAAAAAUCCACCAAAAGCUUCUGAGAGGAAAAUGUAUCACUAUAUUCAGCCCACUGAUCUGACACCUUGUAAUGAGAACCUAGACACCCUAACGAUUAGGGAGGAUUUACACAUAGAACAAACCUCAUAACAUUGAAUAUGAAUCAAGGCAAUUACUUUUUUUAUUUGGUGUAUUCCAGUGUGUGAGAUAUUAAAUGUCACAAACUGAAAAUUGAGUUUGUAGUUGUGUGGUGGCCUUAACAUGCACUGUUUACAAUAACACAACUUUCUGGCUAUCUGCUAGCUGCUUUUUUAUUUAUUUUUAUAUUGAGUGAGAUAUCCAUGGGGUAUAUCAUCACAUUAAGGACGCUUCAUUACUUUCCUACAUACAUUUUAAAAAAAAAGAAAAACUCUGAGGUGACUGAUUCAGACUGAACAGUUUGAUUAUUUCACAAAUACAAUCUGAUGCUUGCAGGUGAUUAUUAUUUGCCAUAAGAAGCUUCCAUGAGGAGAACAGCCAGCAAACCUGUUCAUACUACAAGCGUCAAUGUCAGUCGUCUGUCUUUUUGACUAGAGCCCGUUAUCCCCUUAUAUUCAGUUUAGUUGAACGUCCAUUGCUGUGACUGCAGCAGUGACAGACCAUCCAUAGGGUGCCAUGCACAGUGGUGAGAGAAACCACUGGUCUUCAGCAGUCCCAGUUGGGCUCUCAGCAGCCAUCUAAACACCCAUUUAACCCUACAGAGCUCCACCUUGUGGAGUGCAGCAGGCAUCAUCCUGUCUGACAGUGUCAGCCUCGUUGUCUGCCAGAGAGGAAGCUGUAACUAAUGGACACAGACACGGCUGGGGAGGUCAAAUAAAAAUGUUUUUGUCACCUGCUUUGUAAACAACAGGUGUGGACUAACAGUAAAAUGCUUACAUAUAGACCCUCCCCAACAAUGGAGAGCAAUAAAAUAGAGAAAUAAUACAAAAAAGUAAAAAACAUGACAGGUACACAUUGAGUAACAAUAACUUGGCUAUAUACACGGGGUACGAGAUGGUUAACAGUAGCAGCAUAUGCAAUGUGUCAAAGUUAGUGCAAAAAAGGGUCAAUACAUACAGCCCGGGUUGCUUUUUGGUUAACUAUUUAACUAGCUAUUUAGCUGUCUUAUGGCUUGGUGGUAAAAGAUGUUCAGGGUCCUGUUUGGCUUCAGACUUCGGUACCGCUUGCCGUGUGGUAGCAGAGAACAGUCUAUGACUUGGGUGGCUGGAGUCUUUCACCAUUUUUAUGGUCUUCCUCUGACACCGCCUGGUAUAGAGGUCCUGGAUGGCAGGGUGUUCCACCCCAGUGAUGUACUGGGCCAUCCGCACUACCCCCUGUAGCGCCUUGCGGUCGGAGGCAAAGCAGUUGCCAUAAAAAGCGGUGAUGCCGCCAGGGACCCUGGUUAAAAAGUAGCGCACUAUAAAACGAAUAGGGUGCAAUUUUGGGAUGCAUCCUGACUAUUUAUAGUAACACCCCAAUUAUAGUGUUCAGGUAUAAUUUAGCACGUGCUCCUCUCUUCAUUCCUGUAUUGCUCCAUGUGCCUGACAUGUAGUAUAAUGUAGGGCUAUGCGUCAGUGCGUGGGAGUAUAGCUCUGUAUCUCUGUUCUCACCGUCUCCAAGGUAGUCUCGCUUUCUUCUGACAUCUAGAGGAAUCCGCAAGCAUAGAUAGACUAAAAAAUAACACGGGAAUGAACCUACAAGUGUCAUUCCCAUAGGCUAACUGGGAAAAGGGCUCUGCGAUGGAAAUGUAAGCAGCAGUAAUACUUCAAGAGGCACCACCUCAGACCAAAAUAGCUCAACAUGUCAGUUUGUUACUGUAAAGUGUAUUAUAGUAUCAACAUCCCUGCCAUUUCACCUCCAUUCAGCUGUGUUUCGCUUGUGUCUGUUCUAAGACACGUUUUGACAUUGUGUAUUUUAAACAGUGCACCAUGAUAUUUACUUUUUUCUGUAGCCUAAACUAUGCAUGUUG
This 7360-nucleotide long non-coding RNA is filed under the name Salmo salar (Atlantic salmon). RNAcentral describes it as "lncRNA (ENSSSAG00000105327.1)". The record is from RNAcentral. Lineage: Eukaryota; Metazoa; Chordata; Actinopteri; Salmoniformes; Salmonidae.